CCGAGUUUACAACUCCCAAACCCCUGUGAACAUACCAUGUUGCUUCGGCGGCUGCUUCGGCGCCCGCCGAGGGUCUAAACUAUAUCUUUAAACGAAUUAUCUGAGUCAAACACAAAUAAUCA
Molecule: unclassified non-coding RNA, 122 nt
Filed under: uncultured Sordariomycetes
Lineage: Eukaryota; Fungi; Ascomycota; Sordariomycetes
Description: sequence contains ITS1
Source: RNAcentral